GUCCAGCUGAGGCCCUCUUGGACAACACUUCCUCUCCUGCCCAUGGUGGGAGGUUGGGAAGGACAUUCCCCCAUUUCCAUUUGCUCUGCCAUUCAAAACCUUGUGAGGGCCCUCAGGGAAGAAUCCCUUUGCAGGUCAUAAACUGACCUGCAGAAUUAUGGGAUCUUAACUGUGGGGAGAGACCUAGAAGACCGGCUAGUGACCAGAUUCUCAUCUAACUCCUUUUUUUUUGCAGAUGAGGAAACUGAGGCCCCACGUGGUGAAGACAAUUUUUACCCGAAUCCACCCACAACAAGAGACCAUUUGGAUAAUGUACAUUAUGGGAAGAGAACAGAGUCUCAGUGAAGAUCAUGUUUCCCCAGCAACACAGGUGCCAGGAGUAGCUGGCUCUGGUCCCAGCCCAGACUCAGAAAUCCUGAGCCACCAGACCAUUUCUAGAUUAACAAAGGCCUGCAUUAAUUUGAUUUCAGUGACCCACUGGAAACCAGUGUCAGCAUAACAACAGUUACGAGAGCUAAACCUACAAAAUAGAAACACAAGUAAAACUUGUUCAAGUGGUUUGCAGUCAUUGAACAUAGAUCAGCUCCUAUGAAAACAAACUCCAUGGAACACAGGAGCUAUGUGGAGAGUUGAUGGAGGGACAUUCCAGGCAGAGAGAACAGCAAACACAAAGGCCUUGAAGGGAGCGGUGGCUUACAUCUGCAAUCCCACCACUUUGGGAGGCUGAGGCAGGUGGAUUGCUUGAUCUCAGGAGUUCGAGACCAGCCUGGGCAAUGUGGUGAAACCCAGUCUCUACCAAAAAAUACAAAAAUUAGCCGGGCAUGGUGAGCAUGCCUCUGGUCCCAGCUACCCAGGAGGCUGAGGUGGGAGAAUCACUUGAGCCUAGAAGGUCAAGGCUGCAGUGAGCCGUGAUUGAGCCACUGCAUUCCAGCCUGGGUGAUAGGGCCACAAGUUGAAAAGGCAAAGGCAGGAUUGAACCGCAUUGCUCACCACAGAAUUUGGGUGAUGCCUGCUCGUUGAGUUGGAUCGCCUGGUUCCUGACUCAUUACCUGAAUUGGACCCCAUCUGCCUUCCAGCACUGGGCCCUCCUCACCUCCCAGGCAUCUCCUGGCCCCAUCGUUCUCAUCCACACUGCCAGUUGCUGCUUUCAUCUGCAUCCUCUUUCCUCAGCCUUCUGCUACCCACCCCUCGCCUCCCACCCCCCACCCCCACCAACUGACAAGUACUCUCGUUGUAGAAAGUGCCAGAGCACAAAGCAAUGACAUUUCCAGUAAAUCUCUCAGUUCAGGUGGAUUUCAAAUUUGUUUCUUUCUUGCGGGAGAGUGCCU
Molecule: long non-coding RNA, 1328 nt
Filed under: Homo sapiens (human)
Lineage: Eukaryota; Metazoa; Chordata; Mammalia; Primates; Hominidae
Description: HSALNT0347443
Source: RNAcentral